This 432-nucleotide ribosomal RNA is filed under the name uncultured bacterium. RNAcentral describes it as "bacterial SSU rRNA". It matches the Rfam family "Bacterial small subunit ribosomal RNA", at positions 917 to 1350 of the family's 1533-position model. The record is from RNAcentral.
GGGCCCGCACAAGCGGUGGAGUAUGUGGUUUAAUUCGAUGCAACGCGAAGAACCUUACCAGGGUUUGACAUCCUGCGAAUCUCUUGGAAACGAGAGAGUGCCUUCGGGAGCGCAGUGACAGGUGGUGCAUGGCUGUCGUCAGCUCGUGUCGUGAGAUGUUGGGUUAAGUCCCGCAACGAGCGCAACCCACGUCUUUAGUUGCCAGCAUUUAGUUGGGCACUCUAGAGAGACCGCCGGUGAUAAACCGGAGGAAGGUGUGGAUGACGUCAAGUCAUCAUGCCCCUUACAUCCUGGGCUACACACGUGCUACAAUGGCCAGUACAGAGGGCUGCAAACCCGUGAGGGGGAGCCAAUCUCACAAAGCUGGUCGUAGUCCGGAUCGCAGUCUGCAACUCGACUGCGUGAAGUUGGAAUCGCUAGUAAUCGUGAAUC